ACUUCUUCAGGCAAUAAAGCAAGCCAAUUUUCAUUCGCAGCAGGCCAUCUAGAAUCGAAAACAAAUUUGGCAACAGAACCAUCUUCACUGGUGUAUGGGAACGGAAGGUUCUGCCAUGCAUCCUCUGCUAAGUGAGGCAAUAUAGGCGCUAUAACCCUCACAAGGGAAAGCAGAUGCUCUGCAAGAACUGUCUGAAAACUUCUCCUUGUAAAAUUAACCACUUAGAAAGAAAGACAUUUAUAGUCCAAAGUCAAAAGUAAUAUGCAACCUUCAAAACCUAGGCAUAUGGUAUAAAUGAAAUUGCUGAACUUCACAUUGCCAAAAGCGUGAUAUCCUUGCAUAUGAAUCAAACUAAAAUAAGCACCGUUAUACAGUAUCGUGGAAGGAAUCAGAAAUACAUUGGGCUAAGUGCUGAAAUCUUUCUUACAGAAAAAAAAGAGGAGGUUACCCAACAUAAAGUCGAUCCUUGGCAACAUCAAAAUAAAAGUUUGAUAGGUCGACAGUUAUAAACCGCUGUAUGAUCUGAGAAAUGGAAAAUCAAAGACGUUAAAUCAACGAUAAAAAAUGUUGACACAGCACAAAGGAUGAUUUGACAUCCUUAGGCAUUUAUUACUCAUUCUACUAAAGAUUUUAUGCUUGAUCAAUAUCAAAGGCAUAUCAAACUAAUUAAAAAAAAAAUGCAUCACUAAGAAGUUUAAGCAAAAGAAAAUAUCAUUAAGAAUCUAAAGUAGAUCCCUGAUGACAUAACUCCAAUAUAAGAGUGGCUCAAUAAGAAAGAAACCUGGAAAAUUUUGAAGAACUGAUAAUUGUCAUAACUCUCUUUAAUGUUCUUCACAACAUUUUCAAGCUGAUAUAAUGCAUGCCGGUCAAUCAUUGGAAGUUCAUGGUAAGAAACAGCAUCUUCAGCCUGGCAAUGACACGAUUCAGCUUGAGAAAAUAGAACCAACUUAAAGGAGGAGAUAAAUGCUCUUUGAAUGAGCAUCCUAUCCCGAAAUGAUGAUAUACUAGAUAUUAGAUAACAUACCAAGAUUGAGAUAUACCUUCCAAUCAUGCAGAUUCCCUAAGAGGUAUCUCAAUGUCCCCCGCAACUUUCUAUAAAUGUCAGACAUUUGGCGGAGAAUCUGAGGACCAAUCAUCACAUCUCCUGUGUAAUCUACACUAGAAACCCACAACCGCAGAACAUCUGCUCCAUAUCCAGGUGCUUCCUGCCAACAGAAAAUAAAACUCUUAGCUCAACAAAAAAUAACAGGCAUAUCCAGGAAAAGACUUUGGAGACAAACCUUUUGGUUUUUCCCUCCUUCAAUCACAGUGUACGGGUCUACAACGUUACCCAAAGAUUUGCUCAUCUUCAAACCUCUCUCAUCAAGCACAAACCCAUGAGUUAGGACACUGUUGUAUGGAGCCCUUCCUGUACAUGCAGAAGAAAGUAAUUCACACAGGCCUAAUGUCCUUGACAGAAUUCAAUAGAGGGUAAUCAGCGUGAACUAGUAGCACAAAAAGGUCAUCUAACUUCUCGACAGAAGUACAUAUAUUUCGUAAUUGAAUGCAUCGUAAUUGAAUGCAUAUAGAAGCCAAGUUAAAAGAAAAUUAAAGAACACUCCAAGAACAAAAGUGCAUCUUCAUUACCUUUCGUAGCAAUACUUGUCAGGAAGGAACUUUGAAACCAGCCACGAUGCUGAUCUGUACCUUCAAGGUACAAGUCUGCAGGGAAGUUAAGGCCCGCCCUUUUCCCCAGUACAGCAGCCCAUGAAGAGCCUGAAAAGGAUACAAGGGAUAAAGCAUCACCAUUUGCUCAUGCGGAGAAGUAUUCUACAAUGAGUGUAGCAAUUUUAAGUUGAAGAUAAAGCACGAAAAAGGUUACUGGUUGAGUGCUUCUCUUAAAAAUAAGAGACAUCCAUGAAUGCUUAGGGACACGUGGAAGAAUCAGUUCAACCACUACACUAUACUUAGCCAAAUAAUACUUCAGAAGCUUCUAAGAGCUACCACAGUUUGAUCAGAAUUUUCCAGAUAUGACCUCUAUUACUUCACCCUAUAUAUAAACAACCAACUCUAGUCCAACCCAAAGAGACCAUUACACUUUUUAUGGAAGUAUUGUCUACUGUUUUAACUCACCCAUCUCACUCUGCCACUAACAUGAAUGAGGUACCAUCACCAACGUUUUCUAACUAAUAAUCAUCUAGCAGAGGACAUCAGAACAACAAUGUUGGUAUAUCAAAAUUGCUGAAGGUUCCUCAAUGGAAAACACAUGUUUAGCCUCCAAUAACAAAGGUUAAAGUGGAUAAUCACUUCAUGAAUCAACCAAAAGUUGAAUCCUCCCAUUUCUACCUCAAUGCACUCUGAUUAGCAACAAAGUAAAUAAAAAAGAAAUGUCACAAGCAAAAUACCCGAGUCAAACCAGACAUCCAUUGUAUCAGUGCCCUUUUCAUAGUCCGAUGCUUUAUCACGAUAUCUUUCUGGAAGUAGAUCCUCUACUUUAAUAUACCACCAUGCGUCGCUACCCCUUUGGGCUAUUAUGCCUGCAAUCACACUUCGUCUCGUUAACCAACAUUUAGAAAGACAGAAAUGCAUUGGCAGUAGGAAUGUAAACCUUCAGUCUUGGCAUAAAAAGUGGAAGGUUAAUACAUAGUACACAAUAGUAAUAAAAAGAUCAGGCAUAAACAUAUAAAGAAAGAGAGCAAUCGAUGUUGUCACUUUCAUAGUUUCUUACAUUUAAUAUGAUUAAUAGUCUCUUCAUUCAUUAGAGGCUCCUUGGUUUGUUUAUGAUAAAAGACUGAAAUGGGUACACCCCAUGUCCUUUGCCGAGAAAUGCACCAAUCCGAGCGGCUAGAAGUCAUUGCCGAAAUUCUGUUCUCAGCCUGACAGAGUACCAGUCAAAGGAUAAAAAGUUCGCACUGCAGAAGUUCAUCUUAUUUCAAAGCGAUACAGAAUAAUCACGCAGAAAGAACCCUCUACGAUCGCUACCUGAGGUGGAAUCCACUUGACAUGCCCAAUCGCAUCCAUAGCAGCCUGACGAAACCCUUCCACAGAAGCAAACCACUGCUCAGUUGCCCUAAAUAUAGUAGGCUUUUUUGUUCACCGAUCAUAUGGAUACUUGUGUUCUGCACAAGAGAAAAAGGCAAUAUGCGAAUUAAAAGUGUCCUUCGCAAACUUGUAACAGGAAAGUUUCCAGAUUAGAAUGAUAAAUCACCGUAUUGGGAGAAGGAACAUCACUUACGAUAUGAUUCUUCCAUGAGAAUGGAUAACUGUCCAUCCAAGUGGUUCACAACAGCAGUAUUACCAUCCCCAAGUACGUCAAGUCCACUAAACUGUCCAGCUUCUUCAGUGAACUUCCCAUCAUCACCUACAGGGGAAAGAGUAGGAAGUCCAUAUUUUAUGCCAGUGACAUAGGGGCUGCAUGGUAAUGUUUCUGCUCCUUUUCUGUUCCCGGGAACAGAAACAAAAAAAAAAAGUGUUUCUGUUCUGAGGAACAAUUUUUGAACAAAAAAAUGCGUUUGAUAACGUUUGUUCCGGGAAUAAAAAAUGAAUAGAAACACGUUUGGUAAAUUUUAUUCUUUUUUGUUUCUUUUAAUUUUUUAAACAUUUUUAUUUUAUUUUUCAGUUUUUCCUUUCUUCUUUAUUUUUUCUUUUUUCGGCCGGUCACCGGCCUCCGACGACCAGCCGACGGGGCCGGCAGCCUCGCCCAGCCAUGACGAGGCUCGCCGGCCCCCGGCGAGGCCAAGCCUCGCCGUGGUUGGGCGAGGCUCUGCGUCGCCGGCCCUCGACGGCCGGUCGCCGGCCAUGGCCGAGGCCGGCGACCGGCCAAAGAAAAAAGAAGAAAAAAAGAAGAAGAAAAGAGAAGAGAGAGAAGAAACGUUUCUUCAAAAUUGUUUCUGGAACGAGAAGCAAUUUUUUUGUGUUUCUUUUUUUUGUUCCAAUUUUGUUGCGGGAACAAAAAAACAAAAAAAGAACAGAAACGCAACCAAACGCGUUUCUAUUCUUUUUUUGUGCCCUGGAACAAAAAAAGUACAAAAGUGUUCCAGAAACACUUUUUUGGAGCGUUUCCAUGCAGGGCCAUAAUCUUCUUGACCAUGACCCGGAGCUGUAUGGACCAGUCUAGUUCCAGAUUCUGUUGUGAUAUAAUCUCCUCCAAUGACAACUGGGCACUCCCUCUUAUCUAUGGGAUGGAUAUACCUGUAUCCACAUCAAGAUAUACUGUGUUAACAUCCCCUUUAGUAGAGUCCUUAUGCAGAAGUGCUCGUGUGGGACAAUCCACUUUGACUUGUUUUCAUAGUUUACAUAUUUGUGUUACCUCUUCUUUCUGCCAUGUAUAUGUUAGUGCAUUUUCUAAUGAUACGUAAACAAGGUAUUUAUGGUCUUUUAUAGAGAAUAUAGAUCGUAGAGAUUAUAAUCAAUCGUUUAUAACUUGAGAAGGAAUAAUAGUAUUGCAUUGCUACAAAUGUGGGUAAUAGAAAAGAAUAAGACCUGCAUUUGGAUAUUCAAGAAUCUACCAAAUAAACAAUUGGAGACACUCAAUAGAUUAUGUUCCAAUAUCUAAGAUACUAAUCCUUAAAAUUCAUUACCUAAAUGUGAAGCUGAAAUGAUUGGCACUUUCUUGGAUUUCAAAAAUUUAUAAUACAAAGAUGAACAAUAUCCAAUUCAAGACAUCAUCAUUCAACAACCUGCAGUUUUCAAGAUCAGAACCCAAAAGAACUUUCUUCACGGAAAGCUUCACACCCCAUUUCACUUCUAAUGCUGGCACAAGAUCCGAUGCCACAACAAGAAAAGGCCUCUUCUCUCCCUUCAUAACCUUUGCAAGUCUGCAUCUUUUAUCUUCCUUAGGUACAGCAGUAUCCCUUAGAGGGGAAUGUGCUUCAACUAUAGCAUAUUGAAGUUUACCAUUCACAGCAACCGCUGCAAACAACAAGCAUUCAGCAUGUUCACCAACCAAUGCAGAAAUGGCAUAAAACCAAGGGAACUAUUGAUGGCAGAAGAAGUUGACUUUUAUUUGAUAUUUGCAGGAUAAGAGAGCCAGAACAAUUUGAGAACUUACAGUCAAAAUGGUGAAGCAAAUCAUCGAGUUUUGCAUUAAACCAACCAUCAUAAAGAAUGAUAAAAGUGAUCCUGAGAGUAGUAGGUCAUCACAAAUCCACUUGACACUGUAUUCAAUGCUGUCUGAACAGAUCAAAUUACUAAGACCCGUAUGUAGCCCCCCCCCCCCCAAUAGUUUGUCAUACUAUCGUGUGUUGGUCAGGAAGGUUGAUAUAAGUCGGACGAAAUCACAUGAACAUAUCAUUGAGAUAUUAACAUAUAGCCAACGAGCCCAAAGAUGAAGGUUCAAUGAUUGAUAGCAAGUCAAGAAGCUUCCACAAGAGCUGAACCACACCUAUUGAAAGAUCUCAAAAAAAGGAAAAAAAAAAAAAACCCUCGUCGUCCCUUGCGAGGCUUCCUCUCAACUAGGUUGAGCUUUUCCCUAUCCUAUGGUGAUAGUAUCCCAAAAUCCCUUUCAACCCAAGCAUAAACCCUUACUAUGUUCACUCAUGGAUGCGUAUCUUCACCUCCCUCCAUAUUAGAGUCAUAUUCUCCUCUUCCUUUACUUCAACGAGUACCCAUGGGAAGCAUUAUCGAUGGGUUUUGCUGCGAAACCCUAGAUCUUCAGGAUUCUGCUCCCCUAGCAUGGAUUUUGUAUAUUUGAAGCUCGGCCCUCUUCACAAGGUAAGAUCAAAGCCUUCCUGCAGAAUCAGUACACCUGGUCUCCCAUUGCUCAACUGGAUUAUUCUUGAGAUCACAGAGUUUGUACUCUCCCUUGGUGCCUUGUUGAAUCUUGGGUUUUAUGUCAAUCGCACUCCAUUAGUUUGUAAGCAACCCCAAAGCUCCCUUCAUUCUAAGGCAAAAAGUACCGUUUAGUGUUACGGAAUCGGGAUAUGGCAGAAAACAAGGAAAAUCACCUUCGUUUAGCAGCUCUAUGUCGUAGAAUGGGCGACCUAUGGUCUGAUGAAGACUUCACGGAUCUCGGCGAUGACCUUCCAUAAGCAGCAAAAAAAAACAAAGUGAGCUAACCCUAUAUGGCAAGCUCUAUUCGAGACCAAAUGUCAAUUUUCAGGCCUUCAGUACUACUAUGAAACAGGCCUAGAAAACCGACUCUGUCCAAUGCGAACAAAUUGAACCAAGUUUCUUCUCCUUUACCUUUCAAUCUAAGGAAGAGAAAAAAAUGGUACUAAAAUCUGGACCAAGGUCUUUCUCAAGCAACCUCUUAGUCCUAAAAGAAGAUGAUCCAAACAUACCUGAGCACUGUUAUGAAUUUACGCAUUAUGCAUUUUGGGUCCACAUCAUAGGUCUGCCCCGAGCCAGGAUCAAUGAAGAUGCCAUACACCUCUUAGUCACCAAACUGGGAGAAGUAGAGGAGAUAAAAAUUGAGGCAAGAAGUCUAAAUUCUGCAAAAAAAUGGGAAAGCCAAAGUGUUACUAAACCUGUCUAGCCCACUAAAAAUAGGCAAUGUCAUCUCCUGUGGGGGGAAACAAUGGUGGAUUGAUUAUAAAUAUGAAAGGCUUCCCCAUUACUGUUAUUCUUGUGGUCGAAUAGGACACUAUGCAACUACAUGUUGUAAAAUACCUUUUGAAGAAACUGGCUUACCUCACGAUCAACCAAGCCGUUAUAGAUCCUGGUUAAAGGUAGAAGUGAAGGAAAAUAGCCCCUACUGGAAAACCUUUUAUGGUGACCUUGAUCUUUUGGAAUUGGAUGACGAGGUUGUCAUGGAGACAUAGACAGAGGUUCUGGAAACACCAGCCGCAACAACAAUGGUAGAAUCAUACGCUCUGGCAAUUGUCCUUGCUCAACCUAAAAAAAUAGAACACCUGAGCUUAAAUAGAAGUCAUACCUCAGAAGAACAACAGACCCUCUUCCUCUGUCCAGCUAGUAGUGAGCUGCCUUCAAAGAAUGUAAAGAAAGGAAAUGCAAUCUACAAAGCUCCUGCAGCAAAGAAACAAAAAAGGGUCAGUCCCUAUGAAAAGAAAAUGACACAAGAGCAUGUGUUGGAUGAAACUCUAUUGUUGGAUAUCCCGGUCCAGUCCUAGCAAGGGGUAAGCACAAGGGCUUUGGUGGCUGGCCCCAGAAAGCCACCUCAGCAAAGAUGAAACUUCUUAGUUGGAACUGUCAAGGGCUGGGCAACCCCUUGACAAUCCAGCACUUUAGAGCCCUUGUGGCUCAAGAAUGGCCCAACCUAGUGUUCAUCAUGGAAACAAAAAAUCAGAACCAUGUCGUGGAGCGAGUAAGGAAAAAGACUCUUUUAAAGCAUUCCUAUAUUAUUGAACCAGUUGGCAUAGCUGGAGGUUUAGCACUGAUGUGGGACGAAGAGAUCCAAGUGGAAGUAGAAAGGAGUUACAAGGAUCUCGUUAAUAUUAAAUAUAAAGAUGUUCAAAGUGGCAGCUUAAUGUGUAUUUCCUUUUUGCAUACACCCACAAAUUUCCAAGAGUGACUCAAAUUUUGGCACCUAGUGAAAGACAGCAACUCCUCUAACCCGUCACCAUGGCUAUUAUUGGGGAUUUUAAUGAAAUAUUUUACCAUUGGAAAAGGUUUGAUGCAAGGAGGUGGACCGAUAUCGCAUUGCAGCCUUCCGGGACUUCUUAGAUGACUGCUCUCUGAUGGAUGUUGAAAGCAAGGGCUGUGCCUUCACCUAGUCAAAUAAAAGAGAAUGGACUGCAUUAAUUAAAAAGAGGUUUGUCACGACCCGAUCUCACCGCCCCUCGAAAUGUCCAAGGAGGGGAAAAGUUGGGUUUAUGGGUACUUUGAUCACGAGAGUUUCCUCACGAGAUCACCAGCUCUCCCAAGCUCGUACCUCGCAUGAUGGCAGAUUUAUUUAUACGAUCUAGGUAUUUAACAACCUAAAAAAUAUACAGGAGUCGCCACUAACCUCAUUUUGGGGGUCGGCUAGAAACCCAAUCGAGGGUCGAGAGUGUUCCCUCAAUUCCUACGUAACCAGAUAUCUAGGUUCGAGGACUUGGGUUACGCUAAUAUUGCUAUUAGCGCCCUUUCGGUACAUAAAUAGUAUGUUGUGUUUUUCCUAACAUGUCCAUGCAUUUCUUUUUUAUAUUUUCAGGAUCGUUAAUUCUAUACUAAAUGAUCAUGUGUGGUGGAUGACUUUCAUUCUAUUCUAUUCCUAAAAAAUGAAAGGAAAACAAUCAAUGAAAAUUAAAUUGCAAGACAUGAAGUAAACAAUCAAGAAAAAGCAGUUAAACCUAAUCAUGUAAUUCUAAAAAUAUAAAAGAGAAAACAAUUGAGAAAGAAAAGAAACCCGCAACUCGUCGGGUUUUAUACAAUGCAUGGAACCCGAGACAUAUGUCAGGGAAAACAAAUAGUACAUGACAACGGUCGGAAUGGACAUCGACCUCCACCAUCUUUACACCAAGGUCCAUCUUUGGGGCCCUAAUCUAAACCUAAUCUAAGAAAUCUAGAUGACUAGAUGCAUACAAAUGAAAGAAACAAUCAUCACGUAUCAAAACAAUCAAAAGCAAGACAUUUUUUUUAUGCUCACAAAUGGUGACUAAAGUCACGAAGUCCCUAAGUCAAGUUCUAUGCGGCAUCCCAAAGGCACUUACAUUAUCCUACAUCGCACGUAAGUCAUUUAUCUAACAAUCAUAUGCGAAGCAUAUUAAUUGACAUGCAUUUAGGCCAUAUGAUCUUGAUUCUUAAUCAAUCCAAACCAAUGAGUGAACCAACUAAGGAUCACUUAUUCAAACACAUGCACCAUUGAAUUUGCUCAACACAUGUAUUCAAGGGGAAUGAAGCAGUCAAUAUGUAACCCACAUGAUACCUAAAACUGUUUUAUAGACAAUUGACAAAGGACAUCAUUUUAAAAGAUUUAAUGAAAAGGGAGAUAUCAAUUCAUCAAGUCAGGGAAUGUAUUUAGUCAUCAAGGCAAGCUUAGGUGCAUUAUGGGCAUAACUGAUCAAGCUUCAAAGACGUUCUAAACAUGUUUCAAACCUCAGAUAGCAUUGAUGUCAAGCCAAAAGCAUGAUUUAGAAAUUUGGAAAUACAACAUGAAAACUUGGAAAUUUUAUGCAUCACGAACCAGAUCAUUUAGUAAGUGACAUUGGGAUGUAAGAACACGACAUUUCAUAGACACUGAAACAUAAGAGAACAUAAACCUUUGAAAGCAAAGGGAAACAAUACAUGGCAGCAAAAUCUUGCGAACAGAUAAAAUCCCACCCAGGUUAUAUGGUAGCAAAGGAAAUUUGCUUCUUUGUACUGCAAAAAGCUUUGCUAUCUAACAUCAGUUAACACAGCAAAUGCACACAUGAACAACAAACAUCAAAUGCACGAUUGAACAAUUCCACAUAUUAGGGCAUAUGAACAGCAAGCAUGCACAGAACAGACCUAAUCUACAACAUAACAAAUUGGUACGAACACAACAAUUUUCCAGAAUUACUCCCUAACUUUUAAAGAAGAUUUCAUGUGGCUAAUGAUAUUGAAUCGGGGUGUGUUAUAGCUCGUUGGAAAGCUAGUCGAACCAUCUUCAACUCUCAUGAAGGCAUCAAAUACAGAAAACCAAACCAGCUCAUAUCAGGUCAUUUGUACAAAAGGUCAUCCAAAACAGAGAACCAAUCAGAACAGCAAAAUUUCAAACAAAGUCAGGGAUAUUCUAGACAUAUUUAACCUGGGUAAAUGAUCUUUAAUUAUCACAAAAUUUGUAUUUGAUAUAGAUUGGAACCUAAUGAAUAACUUUCAUUUAAGCAUCAACUUUAGAAUCUAAUCACAAAAAAUCAUGUGAAAAUGGCAAACAACACAGGUCACUAAAGUAGAGCAUGAAAACAGAACACUUAAUCAUUUACAAAUUGUAGCUCCGUUUGUAACAAUUGUCGAAUCUAGUAAAUGAUGACCAAAUCCAAGAGCUCACGGCAUCCAUUUGCAACAAAAUCUAUCCAGACAUACCCUUGCAACACGUUUUCUGCACUCCUUUGCCUUAUGUUUCUACAUUGUGAAUGUCACGCCCCGAACCCCGAGCGCGUGCACAUCCCACUACGGUCGAUCAAAAAUGCGACAUCCCAGGAAAUGUCGCCGACCCAUUAAUUUCUUUACGCAUGCGGAAGCGAAACAAAUCCCCUGACAACAUUUAACUUGGGAUAGAAAAGCAGGCAAUCAAUCGCAAUACCAAACACCCAUUUACAAACACAAAGGGUUUAAAUACAACACUGGACUUUCUACAAAAUAGACCAGCUCGACGAAAUGGGAACUAUCCUACAACCAACUAGCAGGACAUGCUCUCCAACCCUUAUGACUUCACCUCUGCAACUCCUCAAGGCCAACCAAAGCUAUCUGGCCACUCCGUCCACCAGGGACCUGAAAUUUUAAUCCCACAACCGGGAUGAGACGAUGUCUCAGCAAGUUCGACCCCCUAAACCCCUAUUAGAAAGAAAAUACGCCCCGGGUGGCAUAGCCACAUCACACAGAAGACUUACCUCGCCUCAGCCUUUAUCUGCAGGUUAGCACAAUUUAUAUAAACCAACCACGUGCAAUUAUGAUAACCAAACAACCAUGGCACAAUCACAUUAUCAAACCGUUCAACCACUUGGAUCGUCUCAGCGAUCAAUCGACUCGGCCGAUUACAUGUCAUUCUAGCAAAUCAAUCAUUGCUCUCAACUACGGCCCUACUCGGCAAAUUUAAAUCAGUGGCAUCACGGCCCCACUCGGCACGACCUGUAAUCAGGUGGUAAUUCACGGCCUCAUCGGGCACGACCUCUUGUAGGUGGUUUUUCACGGCCUCAUCGGGCACGACCUUUCCAAGGUGGUUUAUCACGGCCUCUCUGGGCACGACCUCUCAUAGGUGGUUUAUCACGGCCUCUCUGGGCACGACCUUUCAUAGGUGGUUUAUCACGGCCUCUCUGGGCACGACCUCUCAUAGGUGGUUUAUCACGACCUCUCUGGGCACGACCUCUCAUAGGUGGUUUAUCACGGCCUCUCUGGGCACGACCUCUAAUAGGUGGUAUUUCACGGCCUCAUCGGGCACGACCUCUUGUAGGUGGUUUUUCACGGCCUCAUCGGGCACGACCUUUCCAAGGUGGUAUUUCACGGCCUCACUGGGCACGACCUCUAAUAGGUGGUCAAUCACAGCCAAUCUCCCAUCAAUUUAUACACUUAGGAUUUCAUAAAGAAUCCCUAUAAAUCACAAUCACACUCAAUUCAUCACAACCAAUCAUCAAUUUCAAAUUCUAAAUGCACAGCAACGAUCGGCACGAAAUUCUGAGCAAAUAAGGUCCCAAUGAAGAUUUUCAGAAUUUAAUAAAUAAUUAAAUUUAUUCCGAAAAUAAUUAAAUAAUAAUAUCCACAGUUUUCAAAAUCCACACUCAAUUUAUAAUAUCCAAUCAUCAAUUUCAAAAUCCGAAUGUACCGUAGCGACCGGCACGAAAUUAUGAGCAACCGGGGUCAAAAAUAAUUUUUCUGAUUUUUUUUUAAAAUAAUAAUGUUUUACUAAUUUCGGAUUAUAAUAUAAUAUAAUAUUUUCCAGAAUUUCGAAGCACUUAAAUAAUUCAAAACUAAAAUCAUUUUGUGUCACAUCAAUGCUUAACUUUAAAUAAACUCUCUUAGCAUUUAAUUAAACAUACUUUAGAUUAAACAAACAUCUUAAUCUAAAUCAUAAUUAAAUCAACUAAAUUAACCAGCUAAGCUUAAUCAACUUAAGCUAAGCACACCUAAAGCAUAAUUAACCCUCUAAGCGAGGUUUAGUGAGCUAAACUCACCGGAUUAGCGAGCCGAGCGAACCAAAACGACGAGGACGACGCGAGGAUCGACUUUCCUCAAAGCGGGCCGAGCAUCCGGGCUCGGGAAGGCGGCCAAAACGGGCCAAGAAGGGGCUGCCAUACCCAUUUUCUGCAGCUGCUGUCCAUGGCGGUUUGAGGCCGAGAAUGGGCGGAUCCGGCGCCGGUUGAGACGGCCAAGGGCGGCGGAGGCAAGGCGAAGCUCCGGCGGGCUAAGGCGGGGCGCACGGUGGCCGGAGGUGAGCUGGACGGCUCCGGCUGAGCUUCCCCAGAUCUGGAGUCGCUGUUGGACUCACGGAACAACAGGGACGAGCAGACGCACGGUUGCUGGCUUCGCUUGCUUGCGACGGCGACUUCGGCCGCUCCGGGGACAAGACGAUGGACGGCGACGGACGAGGCUUCUCUGGUUCGCUGCUGGGUCCUUCGAGCAACAAGGAGGUGGGGGAGAAAGGCAGCGACGGGAAAAGGGAGACGGGAGACGGAGGCGUGCGGGUUGAACGAGCGACGGCCUCCGGCUUCGGUGAGCGACGACGGCGGCGAGAAGCGGCGUCGAGCGGGCGAAGGGGCGUGCGGGUUGCUGGCCACGCACGAGCAGCUCCCUUCCUUCCCCUUUCUUUCUCCCUCUCUCUUUCUUCCCAAGGUUGAAGAUGAAGUGGUGGGACCUCCUCACUUUUUGAGGACCAAUUAGCAUUUGCCACUUGUCAAGCUCUCCUUCAAUAUGGCCCAACCACCAUGACAUCACAUGAUGUCAUACUCCACUAUCCCAAAUCUUCCAUAACCUUUCUCCAAUGGGUCCAUUUUAUUUUUCCGCCGGGGUCCCAUUCUUGUACAUCUAAUUUCUUCAAUUCCAAUCAAUUCUCUCCCAAUUGAGUCCAAUUGAAGUCCAUAAAAUUAACCCAAUGUCACCACACUUCAAUUUACAUUUUCACUUGUCCAUAGAACCAACUUAAGUCCCAAAAGCGCGACCAAAAUCGGCAUACUAAUUUCUAGAGCCAAAUUAGCCAUUUCUUGAUUAUUUUGCUAAAAAGCUCGGCUUGCAUGAAAAUUCUUCCAAAGAUGAUUCAAUGAUCUUGAAAUGAUUUGUGACACACCCAGACUUCAAAUUUCUGAAUUCGAUCUCAAUUCCACGGUUAAUUUCACUUUGGCACGAUACUAGCGCGGCUCAACCUACCGGGUAGCCUUUAGAAACUUUCAUGCAUUUGACCUGUGGUUGAUCAUCUCAAGCCACAAUGUACAUCUUUGAAACAUUGGCGACUUUCGAUUGUCGGGGUAAUCUCAAGGUUUCAAAUACGAACACAGGGUACCCAAUCGAUAGAAAAGUCGGUCCAGUGCUGAUUGACAAGAAUUGUGUGAUCUGGUGGAAUCACCCACACCUGAUCACAUGCCUCUGUCGAGUCGUCAUAUCUCCGAUCUCUAAUCGAUCUUUAAUUGUGCCGUAAUGACCCUUGCAGAUUAGCUCGGUCGAAAGAUCGCUUCCUGGCCAAAUUCUCGAGUCGAAUGCAUUAGAAACUCUUAACAGCUUCACCCGAUAGACUAGCUUUCACAUGAGUGGCCGACUCAAGGAAAAGAACUAUAUGCGUGCCAACGAAAUGCCCGUCUCAAUUUAUUGAAAAUAGAAUCGGAAAAUCGGGAUGUCACAGUGAACACUGUUACAAUAGUUGAGAAUGAAUAGUUCUAGUCUAGAUGGAAUCCAUGAAGUGAAUAUGACAUGACAGAUUAAACAGAAUCCCAUAGAACCAUAUCCCAUUUAGAGUCCCACCUAUAGUCAAUGCAAUUCAAACUAGGGGUGUGCAACCGAACCGGGUCAACCCGGUUCCCGGUUCGGCCCACCCGGAAAACAGGGUCGGGAACCGGUUCCGAUUGAAACCGGUCCGGGAACUGGUUCCAACAACUCAAACCCUGUUUGAAUCAGUCCGGGAAUCGGUUCCGAGGGAUUACCCACCCGGGAACCGGUUCGACCAGACCGGUUUUGGAACCAGUUGGAGAACCGAUUAAGCCACCCAAAAAAAAAAAACCACGUAACCCUAAUUUCUAUCUUUACCUCUCUCUCACAAGUCUCACCCCCUUCGCAAAGCUGCUGCUCCUUCUCCGCUGCUGCUCCUUCUCCGCCUAAGCCCCAUCCUUUGCGAAGCUGGGCGCCACCACCGCUGCUUCUCCGCCUGAGCCCCAACCCUUCGCGAAGCUGCUGCUGCUUCUCCACAUGAGCCCCGUCCCUUCGCGAAGCUGCUGUUGCUUCUCCGCCUGAGCCUCGUCCUUCGCGAAGCUGGGCGCCACCGCCAGAAGCUGAGCCCCUGCUUCUGCCCAUCCUCAACCCGUUCAUCCGAGCCUCUGCUUCUGCCUUGCAGCAACUCCAGCGUCGCCCGCGCCACCGCCAGAAGCCGAGCCCCUGCUUCUGCCCGUCCUCAACCCGUUCGUCCGAGCCCCCUGCUCACCCAUGAGAUCUGCAGCCGAGCCCCUGCUUCUGCCCUGUAGCAACUCCAGCGUUGCCCGCCUGUCUUCUGUCCUCACCCACGAGUCUACUUCUGUCCUCAGCGUCGCCCGCCCGCCCGCCUUCUGUCCGCAACCUGCAGCCGAGACUCCUCCACCGACACCUGCACCCGCAGUCGCACUUCUGCUCGCCCGUGCCUCCCUCUGCCCGAGCGCUGAUCCCAAUUCCAUCCGACGCCGCCUCUGCUACUCUCGUCGCACCCCUCGCGCUCGCACCACCGCCUCACGGUAAUAAUUUGACUGAGCUGAGCAAGUUCAAUGUUUCCUUUAAUACAUUGAUAUCAUUUUUUUUAACGACCGUCCUUGUCUAUGUGUCAAGAGUUAAUGGCUUAUUAAGAAGUGUUAACCAAGGAAGGGCAUUCCUUUGUCUAUCUAGUUGAAUUUUUCCGGUAACAAGCUAGCAUCUUAAAAUAAUAUAGAGAAGGGGCAAGAAGAUGUAUGAAAAUGGCCUCAUCCUUGUCUAAAACAUGUUCAAGUCUUGUUGGAAUAGCAUAAUGAAUGCUGGCGAAUUGCUUCAUUUCUGAGUUAAUUGGUACAUGGUUGAACUAUUACUUGUUAUUCAUUCCUCAAUGAUGAAAUAACUGCUAUUGUCAUUAUCCAUCUUUCUUUUUUAUUUGUGUGAUUCUUGCAAAAAAGUCACUAGUGAGUUUUUUCUGCGGUCCACACAUCAGAAAACAAUAAAGAAACAAAAGCAAAUGCAUCAGCAACUUGAAGAGGCCAUUGCAGUACAUUCUCAUUUUCUCUUUCAUCAAUAUAUGAGAAUUGAAUACUACAUUCGACACAAGCACCAAUAUGGUUGCUUGGCAGGUUGCACGUGUUUUAUAUCUGGGUGUGGUGAUGCUCUUCCAUUUGAUAAACAUCUCUGUUCAGAGAAUAUACAGUGAUCCAGCUAUGAGUUACAUGUCAUUGUUUGCUACUGAGAGCUUUAGUGCUGUGAAAAUCCCUUGUUUCCUUUUCCAUGAUGUCUCUUGCAUGUACAUUACUUUAAUUUCACAUAGAAAAGAUGAAGAUGACAACAUUCUUGCUAACUGUUCACCAUCUGUUGGGUGGUUUCCUUGUUGGGUUAUUUAUCUGAGGUGUUUGUUAGAGGUGGCAUAGACUAUAAACUUUACUCAUUUGCUAAAUGUCUAUUAAAUUUAACAGCUUGGGGGCCAUCAUUCCAAGGAAGACUUUGCAGUGAGAGGCAAAGAGCCCAAAGAUGAGGUUCAGAUUUAUACGUGGAAAGAUGCUACUUUGCGCGAGUUGACGGACUUGGUAUGUGUUGUUGCAUAGUAAUUUAAUUAUGAAUUAAGAUGAUUGGUAACUUUUGACGUCAUAAAACAUGACUCAAACGCAACAGAAAUAAAAAAAAUUAAAUGGGAACUCAACGAAAACAGAAGAAUAGAAUUACAUGACAUUAAUUAGUGGCUUCAUUGGUGAUCUGCAAAUUUUGCAUAAUCUUAGUUGUCUUACACAAGAGAAAGUAUCCAUCUUUUUCCAGUCAAUAAAUUUUACAUAAUCUUAGUUCUCUUUGGAAUGUCAGUGAGAAAGGAACUUGAUGUCGUUGAUGCUCGUGUUUUGCCACCACCAAUGGUAAGUUAUUGCACAUCUUUCUUGUGAGAAAACGAAUGCCUCAAGUUGUUGCAUUCUAUUUUUUUCUGGUUUUAGCAGUUGAUGUAUGCCAUUGUUGGCAUUGUUGCAGCUUAAAUAUCAUGGAAGUGGUCGAGAUGCGAUGAUUGGUCUGUUGAUGGGGCAGUGGAAUACGAUCAAUUCUUCUUUUUGCCUUUUCUUUACAGCAAAUGAUCAAUGGAGGUAGAGUGGAUACCUGUGAUGUGAUGAAAUACUCUUUCUUUUCCUUUUCUAGUGAUGUUAUGAGGUACAAAUUAUUUGCUACAACAGUAGAUGUGCUUAUGCUGAUCGAUAUGAGUGUUAAACGCUUUAUUUUAAAUAUGAGUGCUGUACAUUAAUUUUUGCAAAACAGGUUCCAAUAUAAAUGGGGUUGACCCUGUUCCCGAAUCGGAAAAACAUGGUGGGUCGGGAACAGGGUCUAAUGUAAACAGGGUCGGGAACAGGGUCCAAAAAAAGAGAACCGGUUAUAACAAGAUCGGGAAUAGGGUCUAGGUCUACACCCUACCCACCCUGGACCCGAUCACCCCUAAUUCAAACAUCAAAGACAUGAUUAAUUAUAAUAUUGCAAAUUCAAGAAUGCAGCACGUACCAACGAGUAACAACACAUUCAGUCAUCAAAUCCGUUUCAAAUAUGGUCUUAGCUAACCUAAAGUCUCCAAUUUUAAGGUCACAAUUUGCAUUCAGAAACAAGUUGCUCGGCUUCUAAUCGACACAGGACUCAUAUCGACAAUCUCGAAUCAUCACUCAAAGACAGAAAAAGAAACAGCACAUUCAGAUUAUAUCGGCAUCAAGUUUUAAACAAGCAAACAUGAAGACGAUGAAGUAACUGAUCAGGACAUAAGGAUCAUUAAUGGUAAAACCUAAUCGAUGUAAAGAACCCACUGAUCAAUCAGACCAGGACUUCAUUGACACAGGCUUCACACAAGCAUCAAUGACAACUGGAAUCAGACAUAUGAAAAUAGUAAUAGUAACCUGAUCAACUUCCAGUCCAUAAUGCUCGACAAUCACUUCUAACAAUGUCUGCCAACCAGAUUCAGAAUGAUACCUUGUUUGUGAAACUUUGAUGCUUGAUCGAAUGAUCUAGUCUUCGUGAACACCAGUAGAUCUACUCUUUGGUUCUGCCCUCGGAGUCGAGUUGAGACCUCCAAACUCGGCGCAGGUCUGAAUCCCUGCACCUCGAGCUCUGGAAGGACGCGAUCCGCGACGAGAGCGUCAGAUUCAACCGAGAGCAAGAUCACCAGAGAGAGCGAUCAAGAGGGAGAAGUCAGAAUCCAUGACCCAAACGGAUUCAAAGAGAGAACAAAAAUCAAAACCCUAACGGAUCAAGAGAGAGAGAGAGCUCACGUGCGAUCCUCGACCGUCGGUCUUCAAUUGAUCGAGCGAACGAGCAAGAGCUCGAACCAAAACAGAGAGAUCGAAAAAACAGAACGAGAAGACGAUCGGAAGCAGUUGCCGUCGCUGUCGAAUCUGCUGUUGAUCGUCGUCACUAAGGCUCGAGAAGGCAAGAGCGUCGGAACCGAGAGAUCCAACGAAAACCGAAGAAAAUCUUAGCAAAAACAGAGCUUCCGAUCUCCAAAUCCCGGAAGCGAUUGAUCAAGAGAUUGUCAGAGAUUCUCCAAUCACACCAAUGGAAGAAAACCCUAACUGAUCGAGCCUCCUGUCACCACUGAUGUUGUUGUUGUCGUUUUCAUCGCCGCCGACGAUAGCCCCGAUCGACUCGAAUCACGCGCAAGGCGGGGGAAGGAGCGAUAGCAAUCGAUCAAUCUUCUUCUCCCGUUCCGCUUUUCUGUUUCCACCCCCCCCCCCCCCCGAUCUCUUCCCGAAUUACUAGCUUCCUAUCUAGAGAGAGAGACCCUGACUACAGAGAGUCUUUCCCCUGUUUUUCAGAGAGUGCCCGUUCUUUUUUUUUUUCGAGAGAAACCGUUCAGCCCCUUUUUUCAGAGAGAGAACUCGUGAGAGAGAAUUCGCGCGCCAAAAAAAAUCAGCGGGCCCCGUCUACAUUUUCCCUUUUUCUUUUUGUUUUCUCAUUUUUUUUUCGUUUUCUUUACAUUUUUUUAAUGUUUUCAUUUCAAUUUUUUUUCUCUUUUUUUUUAUAUUUUUGUAAAAAAUAUUUAUUUAAAAUAUCGACAAAAAAUUUCAAGUGUCAACAAUGUUAGAUAGGGCACUCUGUACUAUGAACUAGAGAGUGCAACAUCCCAAUGCACAAGCCUUUGCUCUACCAGCCAUCGGCUCAGAUCAUAUCCCGAUUAUCCUAUCCCUCUAUCAAAUAGGCAGGAAAUUCCAGCAACAGUUCAGGUUUCAAAGACCCUGAUUUUGAGCAAAUCAUGCAGUGGGUAUGGAAUGUAUAUAGCCCUGCUACUACCAGUUUUCUUCAAAAACUACAGCGACUGAAAGCAGAUUUACACAAAUGAAGUAGGGGAAAAUUCCAGAAUGCCCAAAAAUAUAUUAACUCCCUCAAAUUUCGUCUUAUGGAACUAACAAACAGUACCACUGGAGAACACUACAAAGAGGAAACCAACAGCAUAACUCAGAAGGUUGAAGUGUUAUGGAGGUAGGAAGAGAUAUAUUGGUAUAUGAAAUCAAGAAUUGAAUGGCUAAAAUGGGGCAAUCACAAUACUAAGUAUUUUCAUGCAACCACCAUUCAACGACGACAUCGAAACAAAAUCUCUAUACUUUGGCUAGAUGAUCAUACCUGGUGUAGGGAUCCUGAAACCAUCACUCAUCACAUUAUCAGCUUUUAUCAAUCUUUAUUCACUUCUGUUGGCGACCGGAAUUAUCAACCUGUAUUGGAUUAGUGUCAAGUUGUGGUAAUUGAUGAGAUAAAUGCAGAUUUAAUCAAGCCAGCUACUCAAGAAGAAAUUAGAGCUGCAGUUUUUCAGCUAGGGGCCUCUAAGGCAUCGGGCCCGAAUGAUUUAACUGGCUUAUUCUAUCAAAGUCAGUGGCCCAUCAUCAAUGGCGAUCUCUUUAACAUGGUAAACUCUUUCCUCAGCCUAGGUAUAUUUGAACCAGCAAUAAACAAAACCCAUAUUACCCUCGUCCCUAAAGUUUCUAACCCAGAAAACAUCACCCAAUUCAGACCCAUUGGCCUCUGCAAUUUCAAUUACAAAAUCAUUGCCAAAGUAUUAGCUAACCGGCUUAAACCAUGGCUGCCAAUGCUCAUUGCAAAAAAACAAAUAGCUUUUAUGAGCAACAAGCUGAUCAAAGACAACAUCUUUAUUGUUCAAAAUGUGAUCCAUCAAUUAAGGGUGAGGAAAAGGACCCGCAAACAUCAAGUUAUUCUCAAAUUAGAUAUGCAAAAAGCAUAUGAUAGAGUGGAAUAAGAUUUUCUUUGUGAUUACAUGCUAAAGUUGGGCUUCCAUGCGAGAUGGGUUCAAUGGAUUAAAAUAUGUAUCUCUUCAGUAUCUUUUAAUAUCUUGAUUAAUGGUGAGCCAUCGGCUGAGUUUAAACCUACUAGAGGCAUCAGACAAGGGAAUCCCCUUUCACCCUAUCUCUUUAUUAUCAUGACAAAUAUCAUCUCCGCCCUAAUGCGCAAAGCUGUUCAAGAUGAAACUAUUAAAGGUAUUCGGUUAAAUCCUACUUGUCCAACUCUAUCUCAUUUCCUAUUUGCAGAUGAUGCCAUUUUAUUCCUAGAUGGCACAAUCCGAGAAGCUCAUAAUGUUUCUAAUGUACUGAAUCAGUAUUGCUACGUGACGGGCCAAGCGAUAAACCUCAACAAAUCUGGGCUUUUUGUUGGGAAGAGCUGCCCUCCUCAUCUCAAAUAGAAUCUAGCUUCAGAAUUGAGAGUUGCUAUCACUGAACAUUUAGGAAAGUAUCUCGGUAUUCCAGCUGAUUGGGGGAAAACAAAAAAGCAAAUGUUUGUUUGGAUGUUGACAAGGGUAGAAAGGAAAUUGGAAUGGUGGAAAGAGAAGCUAAUCUCAAAAGCUGAUAAAGAAAAUCCUUAUUAAAACAGUCAUUCAGGUCAUUCCUCAGUAUGUGCUGUCUAUAUUUAAAAUUCCAACUUCUAUAUGUCGAACCAUAGAGAAAAGAAUAGCUUCCUUUUGGUGGAAACAACAUGCUGAAAAAAGAGGUGUCCAUUGGAAAAAGUGGGAAGAAUUGAAAAUCAAGAAGGAUAAUGAUGGUUUGGGUUUCAAAGAUCUUCAAGAUUUUAACUUAGCCAUGCUGGGAAAACAAGCAUGGAGGAUUAUCAAUCAACCAAGUGCCUUAUGGUGCAAAGUGCUGAAAAGCAUCUACUUUCCUAGAAGUGAUUUUUGGGCAGCAAAAAAAGGCAAUCAACCAUCAUCGGGCCGGCAGAGUAUUUUACAAGGGAGAGAAGUAAUUGAACCAGCUACCAGGUGGGAGAUUGGGGAUGGGAAAAUGAUCAAAAUUCGUGAAGAUUUAUGGUUGCCUACUGGAAGACUCAUUAGUCCAACUAAUAAGGAAGAACCACGAUUAGUGGCUGAUCUAAUAGAAAGCAACAAAAAGUGGAAUGUAAACAGAGUUACAAUCCUGUUUCAGGAAGAUAUAGCUAACGAGAUACUAACUCAAUCCCUCUACCUUCAUUCUAGACCAGACAAACUUAUAUGGACUACAAACAAAUCAGGCAUCUACACUAUCAAAAGCGGAUACAAUCGCAUACACAGCUCAGCCACGCAUCCAAACAACCAACAACCCUCCCCAUCAUACCAAACACCAAAGUCGCUCUGGCCUACAAUAUGGAAACUUCCUACAUUCCCAAAAAUCCGAUUCAUAAUCUGGAAUAUACGUAACAAUUCACUCCCAACCAAAGAAAAUCUUCAUCGAAGGAAAAUGAUACCUUAUCCGUUGUGCCAGAUUUGCGGCCAAGCCCCAGAAACCAUGGAGCACCUCUUCAUCAUCUGUGGUUGGACAAAAACCGUAUGGUUAGACCCUCAAAAUCAAGCCGACACAAACCUAGAACACAUAACGAGAAUAGACAAGUGGAUUUUUUAGAAUCUUACCACCAGAAUUGAUGACAGAUCAAAAGCCCUCUUCGCAGCUCUUCUGUGGAACAUCUAGCUGACUUGCAAUGCUGCGAUCUUCAAGGGAAUCAAGCCGACUCCCUCUCGCACCCAAGAAAACGCCCGGAUUACAACAGAUAUGCACCUAAAAUGGGGAAAUAGGGGAAGAAACCAUCAAAUAGCACAGCACCAGACAAAACCAGCUGCGAAACCUGGAAACCCCCUGACCUAUUUUCAUUGAAGUUCAACGUUGAUGCUGCUUGGAGUAGCUCGAACCAGACAGGAUCCGUGGCAGGGGUAUGCCGGACUACUGAUGGUCGCCUCGUCGCGGGCUUCGCCGAGUCGAUUUAUGCUCCAUCAGCCAUGAUCGCGGAAACCCUAGCUCUAUGUAGGGCUUUGCAAUGGGUAAAGGAGAUGAGAAGCAACCAAACCGAACGAACUGAAGCCCCUCAAGUCUACAACACUCUUGAUCUUCCACUCCAUGUAUCAACAAACAGCUUAUCACUUAUUGAUAGCAUCAUGGGCCGCGAAGACCCCCCUGGCAAGCCCAACCUUUCAUUAUGGAUUGCAAGCUUCUUGCAGCCCAAAUUGGUGAUAUCUCCAUUCAAUACGAGCCCAGGAAGACCAAUAUGGCAGCGGAUUGGGUCGCAAUUGCACAUCGAUCAAACACCCUUCCUAGUAAUUGGGUUAAUUAUCCUCCUAUGCCUUUUUUUUCAAUAUUAUGUCUAGAUAUACCAGCUUAUAGUGCCCAUUUUACGGGCUAGUAAUGAAUAUCAACCAUCUUCUGACAAAAAAAAAAAAAAAAGAAGCUUCCACAUGAUUAAUUGUUGAAAUACGAUGGCAAAUAUUGGAUUGCCACCCAAAUAAAACUGGCAACAAAUGAAAACAUUUAAAAUAUUGUAAGAAGCAUCAAGGGAGCACACAGUUGAAAAAGUGGCUUAACGCCCAAGCACCCAGUCAUAGAAUUUGUGUCAAUAAACGAGGAAACGUAGAGCUCAAUCAAGGCAGUUACAAAGGCAGUUACAGAGGAAAUGGGCGAGUUCGUUACAAAGGAAAUGGGACGUGCCUAAAGUUUGAAGCAAUUAACAGAAGACAGACAACCAUUCAGCAAUUUCCAAAUUUCUUUAUAAAUAUCCCACUAGUCCAACGAAAAAGCCCCUCAAGAAGAAUACAUCAAAUGUUAUCUCAUUAUUUAUGCAUUAUCUUAGUUUUCUUUAGCAGUAGCUUUUAGAUUCUCGUCAUCGAUUAGAUUCGAGGAGUGUCUAUAUACUGGUGCGGCAUCGUUAAUUAAAUUACAACAUCAUAUCUCUAGCGUAGCGUCGUCAAUUAGAUAGAUUCUGGCAAGUUUCUAUAUACCGAUGCGGCAUCGUUAAUUAAAUUCCAACAUUAUAUCUCUAGCGCAACUUUAUUGAUUAGAUUCCAAUGUGGUGUCUUCAAUCCAGUCAUAUUAUCGUUGAUUAAAUUUUGGCAUUGUGUCGUAUUAUCUUGGAGUUGUGCCGUCGAUUGGAUUCUAGCAUAGUUUGAGUUGGGUCCUAAAGUUAGUAGAUCAAUUGGUAAGGUUUUACAGUAUUGUUCGAAAUUGGAAAUUCAAUAUCUAUAUUGCAUUUGAUAUCCUCUAUUCGGAAUUAGGAUAGAACCUUUGUUCUUGUUAAAUAAAAGCCGAGACUAACAUUCGGUGAAAAAAAAAUUGUUGAGGGAUCAAAACCGGCAAAACAAUUGUUAAAUACCAACAAUUAACGAGACCUUACAAUAAAAGCUGAAAUGAAAACAAGGCUCAAUGAACAUUAGACAUUACGUGUCACAUAUGACACUACCAUAUUUAAUAUUCACGGAUGUCAAGUUAUUAAGAGCACCCCCAAAUUAAAUGGAGAACGAGCAAAACAAAUUAUCGGUUUCAACUAGGAGACUUACCAAUUAAGAGGAGAAUGAACAAAGAAACCCCACAUAACCUAAAUUUCUCACUAUAUAUGCAUCCUUGUCAAAAGGUUAUUUUCCAAUGGAGAUUUAGGUGGAAUUGGCCUGGCUUUUUAUCACACUUGUUCUUGCUAUGAAUAAGAAAGGAUUUACAAGGACUAAGUUUUCUGUGACUAGUGAUAAGAUGUAUCGUUCUGUGCCAUUACAAGAGUUCGGCCUUGAGACGUUUCCUUUUGUAUGUUUUGUAGCCUGGACAUCAUGUUAGCAGAUCUCCAUCUGCCGUAAGAGUUCACCAACUUCUCUCUUCCCCUUAUUACAUAAUAUUAAGCUGCAAUUCUUGGAUUUUAGGUUUCUUCAAACCUCUUACGGGUGAGGCCCCUAUCAAUUCUUGGAUUUUUCCUUUUCCAGUUGUUAAUAAUAGCCAAAAUAAACAAUCUUUGUGCUUGAAUGUCCGGUCAUCGAAUAGUAAAAUAAGUCCCAUAAAUUAUGGGAACCCCGAUGCUUUCAUCUCCUGCACGCUUCCGGACCCGACUGGGCUCCUCCCUAUCGACACGCGACUGGGUUCUCCUCCCUGUCGACACGGCCCGCGGCCCAUCUGACCAAUGUUCGGAACUCAUCGGGCUACUGAUAAUUUGUACUAAGAAUUGGAGGGGUACGCCGGGCCAAGGCAGCAGUGCAACACCGAGGCGACGCGCGAGAGACCCAAUAGCAAGCUACCGUGAUGUUCUCUCCCCCUAAAGAAAUUAAUUUAAUAUCAUGUGGACCGAUGGCCCACGUAUCAGAUAUUAAACUGAUAAGAACAGAUACUACACUUGAUCUUAGCCAAAAGGCCGAGAAAGGUAUGCUUUGGCCCGUCUCAUUCUUGGCAUCUUAUACUAGGCAUCCCAAUUAUCAGCCUCUUCUAUAAUCUGAUGUGGGAUUGAUGAAAGCUCUUCAUUAUUGUCAGCACACUCACUGCACACCUCUGUUCUCAGGUUGGGGGGUUGUGUUUCUUCGCGCACUUGAUCAAAAGCAGAACAAGAAAAUUUGCGAAGGAGAUUGUGGGGAACGCACUCAUCGAGCCGGGUUUCUUACUCCUCCAGAAUUAAAGUUCUCCUCCUGAUCAAGCCUAAUUGUCUUUUACUGAUCUCAUACUCAUAGGAUUGGAUAAAAGCGGACGGCCUUUGGAAUUUUGAUCAAAUUAUUUACAAUAUCUUUGGAGGAAAAAACAAUAAGCAAAGAACUAUUUUGAUCAAAUUAUUUACACUAUCUUUCAAAAGAAAGUUCUUCUAUUUUUGUCUCCAGUUUAAAUUGUUUUUCUCAUCAAUUAGUUUUUGUCAAAUGCUAUUUUCAAAUCCAAUCACCACCCAUUACUUAAAAAAAAAAAAAAAAAAAAACAACUCAUACUCCUUUAAAAAAACAUGCAUAAAGUGACUUGGUGCUAUUGACACCCAAUUUCUUAUAAGGGCUCCUACAUUGUCUUUACUUCUUGUGGAGGUUUCGUAGGUUUUGAUUUCACGAGUGAAACUAUCAACGCCUAAAAAAAUUCAAAAUUUACAAAUAUUAACUAGUGGAAAAUCAUAUGCUAAUUUUCUUUUAACUUAAGGAUUUCUUUCCAUUUUUUGAAUUUUUUGAGGAAAAUAAAAAAGUAAGCAAAAAAACUGUUUUGAUCAAAUCAUUUACACUACCUUUCAAAAGAAAGCUCGUCUUUUCUUUCUCCACUUCAAAUUAUUUUUCUCGUCAAUUAGUUUUUGUCAAAUACUAUUUUCAAAUUCAAUCACCACUCACCACUUAAAAAAAAAAAAAAUACUCAAACUCCUUUAAAAAACACACAUAAAGUUAUUCGGUGCUAUUGACCCUUAAAGUUGGUCAUACUAUCAUGUGCUGGUCAAGAGGGUUGAUACAAGUCAGUCUAAAUCACAUGUAUGUGUCAUUGGGAUAUUAACAUAGUUCAAAGAUUAAGGUUCAAUGAUUGAUAGCAAGUCAAGAAGCUUCCACAUGAUUAAUUGUUGAAAUAUGAUGGCAAAUAUUGGAUUGCCACCCAAAUGAAGCUGGCAGCAAAUUUUGAAUGAAAAUAUUUAAAAUAUUCUAAGAAGCGUCAAGGGAGCACACGGUUGAAAAAGUGUUUAACACCCAAGUACCAGUCAUGGAAUUUGUGUCAAUAAACCAGGAAAUGUAGAGCUCAAUCAAGGCAGUUACAAAGGAAAUGGGCGAGUUUUCACAAAGAAAAAGGGGCGUGCCUAAAGUUGGAAGCAGUUAAUAGAAGAUGGACAAUUGUUCAGCGAAUUUCAAAUUUCUUUAUAAAUAUCCCACUAGUCCAACAAGAAAGCUCCCCAAGAACAAUACAUCAAAUGUUAUCCCAGAGAGGACCCGAGCCGGAUCGCAGCCCCUUCCGCCCCGACAACGCCGCUGCUAUCCCUGUUCUGUCCGCACCUACAGCCUUCCGCCCACGACGCCUUGCCACCAUCUCCGAAGCCAAUAGGUCCCGAACCAAACACGGACCCCCAGCAUAUCCGUUCCUAGCCCCUUUCCGAGCGACACCGCCGCGUUGCACGCCGACCCCUUUGCUGAUGUGACCAAUGAUCACGCCUAUUGCCUCCCCUUGCUGAAGCUCUGAUCAACAGCGACCUGCCGCCCUUAGCGGCUCACUACCACAGUGACUCGUCCCCGAGUCGUGCCAAGUCACAAGCCGCUUUGUUAAAUCUUGUUCGAAAAAUCAAAUUAGGUGGUUUUUUUUAUUUACUUUAUUUUAUUUAUUUUAUUUAUUUUAUUUUAAUACUUUGAUCCUUUGUUUGAAAUAGUCAUCGAUGUAUGAUCGAAAUUCCCGACAUGAAGUAGCCUCUUAAAUUAGGGAUUGACUGUCCUAUUUUCGCGCCUGAAAUCUGACUCACAAUUGUUUGGAAAAUCACCAAUCCGAUGUCACGCGCAAGAUUCAAUUCACGGUUUAUUUAAAAUUGACCAACCUGAUAUCAUGCGUGAGAUAUAUUUCGUCAAUUUUUUUUAUAUCAAUCUUAUCUUUACUAUGAUUUGACGUUGUGUGGUUUAAGUCGAUUUUGUUUUUGUGAAAAGGAAAAAUCCAAAAAAAUAUUUGAAUUAGGAUUAGGUUCAUUUUAGAAUAUUCUUCAUCUUAGGGUUAUCUUGCAUAUUUAGAAUAGGAGUUUAUUUCAAUUUUUUUUUGAAAAAAUAAAAAUCCAAAAAAAAAAAAUGCAUUCAUUUAGGAUGUUAGUUUUUUUGAAUUGCAUGUUUAAUUAUUUGGCAAUUCUAAUUUCGAAUUUUAUAAAAAAACACACAAAAAAAAAAACACACACACACACACACACACACACACAAAUCAUCAUGCAUAUGUCAUGUAGAAUUAGGGCAUUCUUUGUACGUCAUUACAUAUUAGGAUAAGAUUGCAUGUUUAAUGUUAAGUUUUGAUAAAUCUUUUAGAUAUAUUGCAUUUUAGGUUAGAGAUUAUCAAGUUAAGAUAAUAUCCUAGUUUAAAUUAAGAUUUGGCCUAACCCAAUUCUUAAUAUAAGUUGGAUAGAAUCUUAAUCUAACUAGGUAAUUUUCGAAUUUUUCUAAUUUCGAAUUUCAUGGAAAAUACAAAAAAGAAAUUGUCUUAAAAUAAAUCAAUUUCAUACUUUAGGAUAGACUACAUACUUAUAUUUUAUUUAUGUCAUAUAAUUUAAGUCAUAUUGCCAUGUCAUAUCAUUUCAUGUUAGAUUAGUAGCAUGCAUUGCAUAAAGCAUAAUUCUCAUUAAAUAAGUGAAAGCAAAAAAAAAGUAGUUGUGUGUUAAUUAGAAAUUAUAUUUAGGACUGUCGAUGUGAAUUCUGAUCUAACACUGCAAAUGCUUUCAAUGCCAUGAGGUAAGUCCUACAACUUAUCCAUUGAUUUCUUGGGUGUUAAAUUUGUGGUUUGCACACCCGCAUGAACACCUCAUAUGUAAGAGAUGUAAGUUAAAAUCAAUUCAAGCUGCUUGCAAAACAUGUUUUUUGAAAUAAAAGAGAAAGGUACCGAAAGAGCGUUAGAGAAAUCUAAUGUAAUCAAGUCCUUGAACUCAUAAAAAAUUUCUGGUUCGUAGAAGUAAAGUAAAUCUCCCGUUACUUUACUUGAGUUUCUAAUCGACCCACUAAAAAUAUAUUAGUGGCGACUUCUAAUUGAAAAAUCAAUUGCGUGUUAAGAACUUGAAUUUAAGUCGCGAAUUGGUAUGAGCUUGAGAGAGCCGAGCUAAGUUUAGAUUUAGUAAUCCAUUAGCCAAAUCCUAAGUGAUUCACCCAAAAAUUUGGUCACUACAGACAGCCUACAUUACCUACCAAUUGUUAGAACUAGACAUGUUCACCAAAAAUCAAAGUGGAGCUAUGCACGUCGUCUUGAGACUACAACUGCUCUCCUCAGGAAAACGCAAUGGACAUGAGCUCAAACCUUAAGGCUUCAUUUGUUUGAAAUGAAUUAUUUGAAAAAUAUUUCCUAAAAAAUGAUUGCUUUUUAUCGCUUAAAAUAAUUAAUUGAUAAAAAAAUAAUUAAUAUUUUUUUUCAUUCAUUUUCGUAAGCGAUACAAAUGAUUACUUUUAGAAAAAUGUUAUUUGCAUAAUUUAUUUACAUGAAAAAAAUGGAGGCUAAAAUUCAACUAAUUUUUCCACUAACUUUUCAAAUUUCUCAUGCUCCAAUAAUUCAAUUUUGCCAACUUCAUGCAUGAAAUUGUGCCCACUUAGCUUGUUAAGUUAAUGAGAGAUCAAUUAGACAUAAUCUCAAUUAAUCUAACUAAUUUUGUGACUUUACUCAUCAUUUACCCACUCCUUGUACGGGAAGUUUGUUGAGAUGCACAUAUGAGUUAUGCUAGAGAAGUCCUAUAUUGGAGAAUUAGUGUGGCGUAAAACAAUUAAUGUAUCCAAGUUUAGCUCAUUGGCUUUAGCUUUUCAGUGAAUAUAGGUUUAACUAGAUAUGUUGACCUGUUCAUAUUUGAGCUUUAUCUUGACAAUCUCCCCAAAUGUUAUGUCUAGAGAAAAAAAUCUGGGGAUGAAGUUGACCAUUGAUGGAGAGAUUCAACUUGAGAUAAAUUGAUACAGAAUGAUAUUUGGAUUAGGAGGAGCGGACCUAACACUAAGCUCACAUGUGAGAGGAAGACUGUGUUUGUGUGUGGGGCGGUUAAUGUAUCCAAAUUGGGUGAGGAGAUUGCAUUAGUGUGUAAGUGUGUGUCCCAGAGGCAUCUCGCCUCUGCUAUGGACUCCCAACAACACUGAAGAAUAUUUGCUUCACAGAUUAAGGGUAAUAUUUUCUUAAAAAUAAUCUCUUUCUUUUUUCGAUAGAAAUCUACUGAGGAGAGGCAAGUGCUGUAUGAUGAUGAACAAAACGAAAAAAAAAAAAAAGAAGAAGCUAGAAUCAUGUGGCGUUACAUGGGAAGUAUUAUUUCUAGAAGAACAUGGGCUCUUGAUCGGCACAUAAGAGUACAUUGAUAAUUAAAGUUAAAGGAGCAGCUAACAACAUCAAACGCUUACUCCCCGUGGCAUCACAAUCCAAAACAUCACCAAAAAGGCUCUAGAACAACAUCGAAAAAACCAUACGAAUAACAACAGCAUAUCAUAAGUGAAAAAUAGGAAUAGGUGGAGGAGGCAGGCGAGGUCGGACCCGAUGCGAAGCCCUAAGUAGACAGGGCGUGGAGGACGACGGUCUCGACGGUGAGGCCGGGACCAAAUCCGAAGAGCACGCCCCAUUCGAGCCCCUCUCCAGUGGUCUUGAGCCCUUUCUUGAUCGAUUUCUUCCUCAUCUCGUCCAUUAUGAAGAAGACGCAUGCGCUAGACAUGUUGCCAUACUCGGCGAGCACAUACCUGGAAAGCUCAAUCUUCUCGGGCUUGAGCUUCAACUUGGCCUCGACCUGGUCGAGGAUCGCGGGCCCGCCGGGGUGCACUAUGAAGAAGAGCGAGUUCCAGUCGGUGAUGCCCAGUGGGUGGAACGCCUCAGCCAUGUUCUUGUCGAUGUUCUUGGAGACGAGGGCCGGCAAGUCCUUGAGGAGGUGGAUGGUGAGCCCGAUCUCCCGGACGUGCCCAGCAAUGGCCUCCUCGCUGUUUGGGAGGAGAGUCUGGAACGUGGAGACGAUCUCGUACAGGGGCCUCUCGAUCCCCGGGACGGGGUCCGCGCCCACGAUGACCGAGGAGGCGCCGUCGCCGAACAGGGCCUGGCCCACGAGGUUGUCCAGGAAGGCCUCGGAGGGGCCGCGGAAAGUGCAGACGGUGAUCUCGGAGCACACGACGAGGACGCGAGCCCCCUUGUUGUUCUCAGCAAGAUCCUUAGCUAGGCGGAGGACCAGGCCAGCGCCGUAGCAGCCCACCUGGUACAUCAUGUACCGCUUGACGGAGGGGCGGAGGCCGAGGAGCUUGGUGAGCUGGUAGUCGCAGCCCGGCAUGUCGACACCGCUGGUGGUGCAGAACACCAGGUAGGUGAUCUUCGACUUGGGCUGCCCCCAUUCCUUCAGGGCGUUCACCGCCGCCUCCUUCGCCAGCUUCGGCACUUCUGGCACCAGAAUGUCCUGCCGGGCAUCCAAGGAGGGUUCCGUGAAUGAACUCAUGUUCGGGUGCUCUUUCAAUAUCUCCUCCGUCAUGUGCACGUAUCUCCUCUUGAUCGACGACCCCUCACCUGUAACAUACACAACCAAACACAGACCCCAUGUCAAUAACCCCCUGCGACGCCUUUUUUAUAGUCCUCCUUCUCUACGGACCGAUCGAGCUAAUGAUACGCGACGAUGAAAGGCGCAAUCUCUUCAAUGACCCCACAAGUUAUUACCGGAAGAAAACCGAUCCUGGCAUCGGAAACUCCCAUCGAAACUACUGCUGAUUUGCUUUGACUGUCUUUCCUUAAUUUCGCAUCCAAAGCAUGGAUACGCUAGAUGAAGUGAAUCCGGCAAAUUCUCAUGUGAUGAUAAAUGAUGAGGGCACGGAAAAAUUUACGUAUAAAUGAAAGAGCAUCAGGGUAGGCAUGCUUUGAACUAUACAUACAGAUGCGCUUGAACUUCUCUUUCAGCUCGGUCAUGUGCUCGCUGUUGGUGAUCCGAAACAAAUAAUCCGGGUAUGUGCUCUGUUCGAUGACGUUCUUGGGGACCGCCGUUCCGAUGGCGAGGACCGUGGCAGGGCCUUUCGAUUUCUGGGCACGGCAGAAUUCCUCGACGCUCGCCAUCUUUUCUUCUUUUUCCUCCUUGUCAGGGGGUUUCGAGGAAAUGAGAGACGGCGAGGGUGGCCGUCAAGCGGGUCGAGGCGGAGGAGGCGGUGGUGGACUGGUUUGCUUGUGACUCUUCUCGGGGUGGGGUGCACGAGUGAACCUUUGGGAGAGAGUGGGAUUUAUAUAGAAGAGAGGCGGGGAGAUGGUGGUUGGGCCCUCACGUGCGGGCCUCGUGAUAUGGCUUCGGGGGACCUCGCUGUCACGUGACACGCGCGUGCUCGUAAUUCAUGGCAAAUGCCAUCGUCUCUUACUCUGAACAUAAAGUUCAUAAACGGCACAUUACUCAUUGGCAGCUCUACACGCAUGAGCGAGGUCGAGUCAAAUUACUUGCAAGAGCUCCGGCUCGGCUUGUUGUCUAGUCGAGAUGGACUCGCUUAAUUUUGUACUACUCGAGUAUCUUGUAUAGUUGAGCCCGAGCUUGUCAAUAGUCAACUUGAUAGGCUCACGAUUUUAAUUGAGUUUUCGUUAUAUUAUAAAAAUGAGCGAAAUACUUAAAAUUACACUCGAGCUUAUAAAACUCGAGUUACUCAAGCUUUAUUUAUAAGUUGAUUGCAAUUAAAUCCAGUCGGAUCGGAUUCAAGAAUCUAGAUUUUCUAAUUGAAUCAAGCUCGAGUAGGAAAAUUAAUACUCAACCGAGCAUACAUUUUAUACCUUAAUUUCUCUUUCUCGCUAUUUACUCCCCAUUUCGUUAUUGUUUGUAUGCCUAAUCCUAACACUCACAAUAUUUAGACAUCAAUGGGUAGGGUUCUUGAAGAUACAGAGGAAAUGACAAGCGUGGAUAUCACAAACCUUGUCUGUAAUGGCCUUCUCAUAGGGAUUCAGUUGGAGACAAUUUGAGCGUGGGAAACCAAGCAAGAAUGAUGCUGAUAGAGGCAAAAACCUUUCUUAUAUGUGAUGCAUCUUUAUUAAUUGUGUUUAGACGAGAGUUAAUACUGGUUAACAUGAGACUUAUUUCAUUAUUUUGACCUGAUUGCAUUUCAUCGUGCCGCUUCGUACAUAGUCUUUCGGACCUAACAGGAUAAUUAAAUAACGAAACAAGUACCCGGCAGAUCCAUUUUAUUCGAAAGAUAAAUACACCCCAAAGAUCACUACUAAAUGAUGACUAGACAUGACUCAAUCGCUCAAGGCCAUAAAUGCCUUCAUAGCCACUCAGCCAGACAAGGACCCGUACCACCCAAAGCUGGAGCGCACAUGCUUCCUCGAACGCCUUUCCUCGUUUUAUCCCCGCGCGCCAACAAGAUCUGCAUAGUGCUGGAGCGCAACAGUAUGAUCCAUUAAAUUGAUUCCUCCAUAAUAUUGAAAAAAUUAUCUAAAAAAUAUCCUAAAUCAAAUUAUAUUUUAUCAAUUUAAUCAUAAUUUUUUAAUUUUAUCGAUUCAGUAAUAAACAUUCGAUCAAUUUUCACUAGAAAAUAUUGACAUGGACACCAGCAGUGCCACUUAGGACCGCCGAUGCUGACAUGGAUAAAUUUUUAUAAUUUUUUUCUUUUUUUUUCCUUAUUUUCUUUUUGGCUUUUUUUUCUUUUCCUUUUGCCAAUGGCCGGCCACAAGUGACGAUCAGCCACCGACCAUAGCUAGUCGACUAGCCUCGCCCACCAGUGAGGGGAGCCCUUGCCCUCACCCUCGCCCCCGCCCUUGCUAGAUCUAGCCUAGGCAAGGCUGACCCUCACCGGUCCGUGCCUGGGCGAAGACUCCUCUCACCAAGGCUCGCCCUCGCCCAAUUGAGCCUUGCUUGUGGCGAGUGAGGGCAGCUAGUUGACCAUGGCCAGUGGCCAGCCACUAGCAAAAGGAAGACAGCAAAAAAAAAUCAAAAAAUCAAAAAAUCAAAAAUCAAAAUUUAAAAAUCAGAAAAAAUGAAAAUUCAAAAAAAUAUUGAAAUAUUAUUAAAAUUUCUCUACGUUAAUGCCGGCGAUCUUAUUUGGCACUAUCAGCGUUCAUGUUAACAUUUUUUAGUGAAAAUUGAUCGGAUGUACUCAGUUGGCAAGAAGUGAAAAGACUUAUGAUUAAAUUGAUAAAGAUAAAAAAUUUAUAACUUUUUGGACAAUUUUCUCUAAUAAUAUUAUAAGAUGGUGAUAAGUAGACCGACAAUACAUGAUUCAUCGACCAUAUGCAAUCGUUAGCGUUUGUAUCGGUUGCAACUUCUCAAUACGAAGGAAUGGUUAGUGCCAGAUUUUCUCUUGGGUAUGGGAAAAGUGCCAAAUAGAUGCGCAAUUUGUUUAAAUACAAGCAUAUGAAAGCUUACUUACGUCAUUAUUGAAUUUCGCCUUCGCUCUCUAACAGGUCGUUCACUUGUAGGUUUUUAAAAAUUACAACUUUGAUUUCAGUUUUUCAUUAUGUCCCUCCGUCAACUUUUCAGCUGAUGACCUAUCAAAAGCAAACACAAUUUUUCAACAGAAGUAUUAAAAAAAUCAUAAACUUUUUACAUAUGUUUCAAUUUAGUUCUAAACAUUUUUUUAGUGCCAAUUUAAUCCUAAACAUUUUUAUUUUGUGCCGAUACAAUCCUUUUCGGUCAAUUUUGAUUGGAUUUUGCUGACUCGGCACCAACCGGCUGAUGUGACCUGAUCGAUGCUGACGUAUAUAACUUUUAAUAAUAUUUUAAUAUUUUUUUAAAAAAAUCUUUUUCUUUUUCUUUUUUAUUUUUUUCUUCUCUCCUCCUUCCGGCUCGCCGGCCACCUCACUAGUGGCCAUGAGCGCAAGGCCAGCCUAGCUGGCGAGAGUCGAGCCUCACUAGCCCUGUGCGAGGCCGUCCUCAAGGCUUGGGCAACCUCAAGCUUGCAUCACGUUGGAUAGCGAAGGUCGCCCUCACCAGAUCUGGCAAAGGUCAAGCCUCCCCCAUGGCCAACGAGGGCGACCCUCACCACCCAGCGUGAGGCUGCUCUCACGACCACUGGCAAGGUGGCCGACAAGGCUCACCAAUGGCUAGCGAGGUUGACCUCAACCUUGUCAGCCGUCGCCUCUAGCCGAUCGCCGAGGUCUGGCGACUAACUAGAGGAAGGAGGAGGAGAAAGAAAAAAGAAAAAGACAAAGAAAAUAAAUAAAAAAUUCUAAAAUAUUAAAAUAUUAUUAAAAUUUAUUAACGUCAAUGCCGAUUAGGCCAUAUUAGCCGACGAGCAUCCAAUCAGCAAAAUUCAGUCAAAAUUGGCAAAAAAAUGACUGAAUUGGCAUAAAGAAAAAAUGUUUAGGACUAAAUUGACAAAAAAAAAAAAGAUUUAUGACUAAAUUAGCACAAAUACAAAAGUUUAUGACUUUUUUAACACUUCUCCCACUUGAGGGUCACUUUAUUCUCACUCCGCUUUCAUGCCAUGCCAUUAAAUUAUUGUUCAGCAUACAUUCGGUUCACUUAGAUUUAUUCUUAACGUUUCAAAGAAAUGCGAAUUUUAAUGGCUUGUUUGCUGGUAAGUAAAUGUUGUGGUCCAUUGAAAGCGAAACUAAAGUUGAGUCACCUUAUUCAAAAUAUUGAAAGUUCAAUAACCUACUUAAAAUUUAAGAGUUAAAUUUUAAUGAUCACGAGAUAAUAAUUUUAGGACAUACAAGAACAAAGAUGUAUGAGUGCAAACUCGUUAUUUUAGAGCCAUCCAAUGAAGGCAAGGGAGUCAAAGGUCAAUGUACCUUCUCAUCCAUGAACUUGGCCCAAAACCGCACAACAGCUCGGUCACACGAAUCUUGAGGCAACAAGAUCAUGGGGCGGUCAUUCCAAGUCUCGUCAACGUGCUCAAUAAUCACUAGUGACUCGGCAAUGGACUCGCCAUUGUGGGCAAGUACAGGUAUCUUCUUGUGGAUUGAGUUCUACUCGGGAAGCAUAGGGCUCUCGGGCAGUUCAUCAAGUCCUCAUCUAUUUACUCGCUCUUGACUCUUUGCAUUUUGAGAGCCAUCUCAACUUGCCAAAGGGGUGAUUGAUUCCCGACAGCUCUCGGCUCCAAAUUUCAGAAUUAGGAACUAGAUCGGACAGUUUAGAACAGGGCAAACUACAGUUGUGCGCAACUUUAUUUUUUUUAUUUUUUUUAUUUUAAAUGGUUUAUUAAUUUAAUCCAAAAAAGUAAUAGAAAGAUAACUCACUACUUUUUUCAGUCUUCGUGGGAUCAAAGAAACAUUUCCCUAGGCAAAUGUGCACAGAGGGAACUGACGCUAUUAGGGAAAUAUUUUUGUGGAUCUACCUUUCCAUGUUAUUAAUAAAGCACCCGCACCUCCCUACCUUUACUUUCUCUCUACUCUCUCUCAUCUACAUUAAGCACCAAACAGUUCCUCCACUGACGAAACUCUUUCAGCUCACUUUCAUCCUUAGGCAGCACAUGAGACUAUUUAUGUUACUUCGGAUUUCUGUUCUUUUAUUCCCGGAACAAAAAAAGAACAGAAAUCUAUUUAAUGAUGCCAAGUUGUUUUUCAGUUCAGCGGAAUAGAAAGUUAGCCCGGGAAUGAACUUGGAGCAGAAACGAUAAACAAAAAAAAAGUUACUUCUUAUUCCCAAAAACAAUUUUUAGAAAUAAGCCCAUUUUCUUUUUUAUUUUUCUUUUGUUCCUCUAUCUUGCCGCGGCCACCUCCAACUACUUGGAGCCAUCGCCAACCUCCGGCCACUGCCACCGCCCACCGCCGCCGUCGCCUGCCGCCCGCUGCCCGUCACCCGCUGCCGCCACACAACCCAUUGGCCACCAGCCGCCGGAGGCAGACGAGCAGUCGGGGGAGGUGGUGGCCAAUGGGCUGUGUGGCGAUGGUCGACAGUCAACGAUCCGCGGUCGUGCAGCGGCAACGGCAAGUGGCAAUGGGCGUCAACGGCUGGCGAUCGACAGUCGGCAAUCUGUGAGCAAAAAUAAAAAACGAAUAAAUACAAAAAAGAAAUUGUUUCGCACUAAACGCAUUUCUAUUCUUUUUCUAUUUCUAGAGUAGAAAUCUUGUGUAGUUACCAAAUAGCCUUAUUUUACUCAGAAAUUGUUCCUCGGAGUAGAAAUAGAAAUGAACUAUUUCUAAAAAAAAAAAAAUCCAGCCAAGAAGCGUUAUCAGUCACACCCUUAGUUUCCACAUGAUGAGCUUUAAUCUCAUCUAGUUUCACUAUAAUGUGAUGGCGGCUGUACAAGACCGUUGUGGUUGUGUGAGAGAGGAAGGUUAGAGCAUCAAUCGCAAUAAAGGGAGGUGAGAAGCUGAGGUCUAAAAGAGAGAAAGAAAUAGGUGUAAUCUUAAUUUAGUGUCACUUUUGACCAAUUCCAUUGAUUCAAUCUAUUGGUCUAGUUCUGCACAAGAAACUGGGAACUGGAUCAGUUAUUCACAAUUCCACAUUUUAGGAACUAGACUAAUUCCAGCGGAAGCCACCCAAAACUGGCUAGUUUGAUUCAAUUUGGGUAGUUGCCAAUUCAAUCCAAUUCUUUUGUUCACCCCUACUUGUCAACCAAAUGGGCUCCCCCAAGCACCUAGAGAAGAAGGGUGAGGACACACACAGCCACCCACUUCUUUCAUGUCUUGAGCAUGAUGGAAAGGAAAUGGUGGAUUUAUAACAGUGCAAGCGAGCCUCUAUACACACGGUCAUUCAUUUCGUACACAUCAACAAUUGUCGGUCAAAAUUGGCCGAAAAAUAUAUAUUGACAAAUUGUUAAAAUAUUAAAAAUUAAAUUAAUCAAAUUGAAAUGUUUAAAAUUGAAUUGGCAUGCGUAUAAUUAUCCCAUCGAAUAGGUUUGCUUGAUUCCACACAUCAUCGAGUGCAAAUUGUCCUAGGGUUAACUUGCUCUAGAUGGGAUUCUCAUCAUAAAAGGAAAAAAAAAAUAACUGAGGGUUCUUGUAUUCAUUUCAUUGAAGAGGAAAUUUCGUUUUGAGGAGGAAAGUUAGGUAAAAGAUUGUACGGUUGGGAGAUUUUUGGGCAAAUCGGAUGAGGCGGAGCCUAACCAACUGAAGCAGAUCUUCAAAAAUUGACAGGUCAUAUCACAUAUAUGCAAUAAAUGCCAAUGCUAUGCAGGCAAAAUAAUCUUUGCUCCGUUACGAUCCCCGUUGGCAUCUUUCUGGUUAGUCAUAGUUUCAUGACCAUUUUCAGAUAGAUUAAUGUUGUCUUUUGACGUCAUAGUCCCGAUAUAAUGAAUGAAAAGGAGUUGAAUUUAUUAUACUUUUUGGGACAGAUGACUACGACACUCCUUGAUCUAAUUAAAUUGAUUACAGCGAUAUGGCUUGCAUAGUUGCUCUUUUAUGAUCCUUUGCUUUUGCUAGACCUAGAGAAUUCAUAAAAUAAAAAAUUGUUAUUUUGAUUCGAUAAACGAAUCUCGUAAUAACAUCAUGGCGUCGUGUUGAAGUAAACAGAGAUUUUUUUUUUUUUUUUAGCCAAAAAUGUCAUGGAUGGACAUGUAGAUUAAAGUUAUGGAAUACUUCAGCUUCUCACGUGCAUACGUCAAAUAUGAGGUUUGGAGAUAUUUGAACCAUUGAUGAUGGACAAGCCAAAGCAUGGUCGGCAGAAGGAUGUACAAAUGCGCUCCGACAAACUGUAGAUGAUGGCAAAAAAGCAAGAAAUUCUUUCCCAUGGACCUUACACAUGAUCGCAUCCGAUCUAUGGACUAGAAGGGGACAAGAUCGAUUUCAGUCAUUUGCCCCUUCCAGAUAAUGCAUGCCCACAGAUUGAUAAGUAGUUAAAUAUCAUGCGUGUAAAGUCGAAAAUGAGUAGAAAAUGAAUGUUUUCUUGCUUCUCUCAGCCGCCAAGCUUGAGUCGUUUUCAUGGCUUUGUCAUCGUAUAUUUGCCCAAAGGAUAGACCAAACCAAUCAAUGAUCAAGCGUCAAUCUAAUGAACACAAAACACGAAAAUAAACACAGUUGAGAGCAAUCAUAUCUGUCAUUCAUUUAUUAAGACCGGAUGUAGUACACAAAUUCAGAGGACACCGGGAUUAUUGCACCACCAAAAAGUUACCCGGCUCUUAACUUCACACAUUAGCGCGAACGCCUUUGAAGAACAAGAUCAAAACAGAAGCAGUUGUCGAAACAUUUACACGAAUCUUUUAAUUUAUCACCCUGCAAUUCUUCCUAAUUUCUCCUUGCGUGCCAGUGAGCACCUCGAUCAAACCCAUGCGCACCAUCGCGGCCGUAAACCUCCGAGCCCAAGCGCUGGGGUGGUUCGCAUUGUCCUUCACUAACCCCCUUGUCAAUGACGCAUCCCACAGCACUUGGUCCGAAUACAACAAUCCCUUGUCACUCUUUAAGUUGUGGUAGUAAGCAUUAUCGAGUACGUUCGGCGUCACCGGAUCGAAUGGUACGAUCGGGUCGGUGGGGCCGUUUCGCGGGCACUUGGUCUUCAAAAGAUGGGCAUAAUUAGGAUUAAGGGAAGGAUCUUGUGAAUAAGUCGAGUUGAAGGAGUAGAGUCGCUUCGUGAAUUGGGAGCAAUGAGAGUCCCCGAUGGAGUGAGCUCCGGAGAGAGUCACCAUGUCUCGGAGCGAAAGCCCUUUCUUCGCAAAGUUCGCUUCGAGUUGCACAGCAUCAAAAAAUGGGCCGGGGAGGUUUUUGAUCACCUCCGACGCGAGCGAGACUCUCCCAUCCCGCCUCCCGCUAGGGACGGCAUAGUGAAAGCCUCCGGCAGCUCGAACACCAUCACGAGCGGCGAAGGCCACAAUGUCGGCACAUGAGACGGUGUUAGGGCAUUGGGCUUCAAUCUUGGCCUUGGCAUCGUCGAUCACCUCAAAGCCCCCGAUGCCGAGGUUUCCCAUGCUAUCUUUCUCCGCGGUGUUCCCUUUGGUCGAGUUGAGAAGAAUGGACCCGUCGCAACCCUGAGUACUAGAAGACCGUACGUCACAACAUAGAAAUAUCCAUUUUUACAUGAUUAUUUUUAAUUAGAUAUAGGAACAUCUAUGACAGAUUUAUUUAGAUAUCCAUUUAGAGUUUGUGACAUCAAUCAUGCAAACCCGACUUCUAAGUUCCUAGGAUUAGUUAUUCAAAUGAAAGCUGGCCCAUGUAUGGGUUUUGCAAAAAAAGUGGAUCAAUAUGCAAAUGUAAUAGACAUCGCAAGAGAAUACUUAAAAGGUGUGUUUAGUUCGAUUUUUGAAAAAUAUUUUUUGGGAAAACGCAUAGACCUUUGGGUUAAAAGGAUUUUUCAAAAUACAAGUACUGUUCGGUAAAGUGUAUUUUAAAAACACGUUGAAAAGCAAUUUUAAUAGAAAUACUGUAUGGUACAAAUUAUACUUUGUAAAUGGUUUUUGCUAAUUUUUUUAUAAAAAAUCUCAAAUUAUUUGUUGGUGGAACUCAGUCACGACCAUUGAGAGUGGUAGUGGCUCACCAACUUGCUCGUUGGUGGCUGAGGCAAAAAUUAGGGCUUUCAAGAACAUUUCCGGAAUUAUGAAAGUUGAGCGAGGGUAAAGUUGGAACGAAAAAUGUCUAUUUGCAUUUUGGAAACAUAAUAUUUUAAAGUAUCUCCAAACUUAAUUUGUGUUAAAUGCCUUUAAAGAGCUUUGAAGGUGCAAAUUGCAUCUCCUCAAAGUACCCAAAAAAUUUUGCCAAACAGUAUUUGCAUUUACCCAAGAAGUUUUGCAACUCGUCAACCAAACACACCUGUAAUGAUGUUGCACAUAAAAUGCUUGAGUUAGAAAAUUACUCUGACAAAACAGUCAUGGAAAUGGAGCCUAAUGAGCGGAGCAACAGCUCCAGGGUCAGCAGCUAGAGCCUUCUGUACUGACUCUCUCACCAUGGCCUCAGCAGAUGGGCAUUUCUUCUGAUAAAACCCAACCUUCAAUGGACCUGAAAUUGGACCCAACCGAAAACAAAAAUUUAUGACCAAGACAAGAAAAUCAACAAUAUAUCAACUCAAACGCACGUGUUGAAACUGCUAGCAUAAGGGAAAAUGAAAUCGGACCUGAAAUUGCAGGUGAAAUUAAACAGAUCACCAAAACAAAGCUCAAGUAAGCGCUCGAGCUUGCCAUUGAUACAGAUCAGCCAAAAAAGGAGCAAUUUCACUCAGAAUCUUAGAACUACAAUGACUAGGGUUCUUCAAGAUAGAGAGGAGAAAAUGUCAAGUGUGGAUGACACGAGCCUUGGCUAUAAUGGCCCUUUUUAUAGCGACCUAGUUGCAGACACUUUGACAGUGGGAAACCAAGGAAGAUGCUCGAAGAGGAAAAGUCCAUUGAAGCUUCGUGUCAUGAGCUGUCUUUCAGAAUUUCAAGAAAAAAAGUACGACAACAUGCACUUAGAUUAGACUUAAAAAGUGGAAGGCGUGUGGCCUCCACAUGACUCCCUUUGCAAAAGCACACGCUUCGUUUAUUUUAUAAGAGGGAAAUGGGAAGCAAAGUUUGAUUUGUGAAGUAAUCUUACAUCUCGUCCCUUGGAUUUUUCUCCUCAAACUUUAUAGAAAAUCGGUUCAUUCUAAUUUUACUCUUCCCAACUUACCUAAAGACGACAAAGGGUACAUUUAUUUAUUCGUUUAUUUAGCUAGUUCAUCGAACAUGUAAGGACAUUUCAGCUUUGUUUAUUAUCGUUUAUAGUGUCAAUUAGUCAAAUUCAACUAGGGGCGAGGAAUGUUAAGAUAGGGGGACAUAUAAUUGACCUUAAUUAUUGCGUGACAUCUAGCUAUGGACCAUGGUUUUAUAUUUUCAAUCCAUUGACUAGAUGUUUCUAGAGACUUAUCAUGCUACUAUUAUUGAAAUCCACUAAUGGUAUGCUUUGAUACCGUCAAUUAAGUGCUGCUGAGGUUUGAUAAUAUCCUUCUACUAGUUGUUGCAGUGAUAACAUGAUGGAAAGUCAAUAGCUCAUCUAGGACAAAAACUAUGGGAGAUUUCAAGUCCACUUCCCAUCAACAUAUCUAAUUGAAUAUAUAUUCACUCAAAAGGUUGAAACAACAAGUUAUUAGUGAACCAAAACAUAUUAAUUAUUCCAUCUUACACCAAAUUCUUGAUAUGGGACUUCUUAAAAUUUAUGCUUAGACAAAGAAUAAAAAGGCAAUCAUGUUUCGCUAAAUAGGAGUAACUUCGAAUUACGACAACACUGCAUUACAAUUUACAGCCCUUGCCCACAGAAAAAUGAAUGUAACUCAGCGUCAAAACUUUUCGGCUGCGAAUGGUGCGAUGGGAAAGUUGACGCAUCUUUGAAGGAAAGGCGUAAUUAAGCUUUGAGAACUUUCCACGCUUUUUCAUUCUUCACGACUGGCUUUCAAGCUUUCCUAACACACGACAAUCCUCCAACCCAAAAGCUUAAUUUAAGCGCAAGUCGCCAAAAUAUUGUAAUGAACGAAGAAUUGGCGAUUGAAGAAUGCGGAAAUAAACUCUGCUGAUGUAUGUGGAGGUUUUCAAUCCAAAUUGUUAAAAGAUUGUAAUUCGAUUAUUCUCAUUUUGUAUUUGUUUGAUCCAUGCUGCUCGUGUUACUGCUUCGACCGCAUAAAUUUGGGAUCGGAGCAGAAAAGAUCGUCGGAGAGCACAGCCAAGUGCUCCGACCACAGCCAAGUUUAGUUGUGACGGCUCUGAAACAUACAAUACAUUACAAUCUCCAAAAUUUGCGUAGAGCUCUUCCGUAAGUACAUUUACAAGGUCAUAUAAAUCAUACAAUCUUGUAAAAAUGUCAAAAUUGUUUCAAAAGCUAACAUCAUUAGCCACUCAUGCCAAACGAAUAUUUUACAGGGAGCCGACAAGGAAUUCCAUUAAUAACUGGCUAUUUUGACCCUUUGGAGGCAAAAGAAAAUGAUAAAUCUCAAACCUUGGUGAAGGGCAUCGCCACCUUUCUUUUUCUAAAGUACAUUUAACAAAUUGGAGACUUCUAUAGGGCAAUCAGCAUCCUCAGAAAACUGAAAAACCUAAUGCUUUUACUGCAUAAAUAUAAAGAGAUAACGACCCUACCGUCCCAGAGUAUGCCAGACGGAUCAUACCCGAUUCAAAAGUAGCCAAAGAUGUGACCAAAGAUGACCGGCAAUUGAAGUUCUGAAGGACAGUUUUGGCCUCUUGUUUGGAGACGAUGCCUCAGCUGACUGCUGCUAUGGCAUGAGGCGAUUGAAUGGCCACUACAGGGUAGCAUCGGCUACAGAGCGUCGGGUGCUCCGGAAAAGAACCGACUUUGGGUGAGUAGUUCCAACAUCUCUCGCAUUUGGAUCCCUCUGCUUUGGAGACACCAAUCCAGACUUUCUUGCCAUUAAUCUCGCACUCUCCAGAGUAAGGAACAUCGGCAGUCAGUUCAUCACCCAGAGACAGAAUUACCUCUGCCUGUAUGUGCAAAAUGUACGUUACUCUGAGUGUGGACGACAGCUCAAGUUCCAUCGGUACAGGGAUAGUGUACUUAUGCACCGUCAGUCAAGCAAUUUUUAUCCCAAAUGAAGCAGAUCAUUUGCCGAUAAAAUGGAAACCAAACACGCAAAUUGUGGCAACUGACCCACAAAUCAUCAAUAUCAGAGUUAAGAUCAACAGAGUAAAGCAUACCUGAGAAGUUAUGAAGAUGCGAUGCAAGUUGUCCGCAUCGUUCGUGGCUGUGCUCAUUUGGCAUAAUAGGGAGGCAAGAUUUACAUCGGAGGUAUGUAAAAGAACUUUAGCCUCUAAGCUCGAACCAAUCAGUUUUCCACCCCGAGCAACUUCCAGAACCUUAUUUACCUCUGUCCUUAGCUGGAGAUUGGAUGCAGAAUAAUAUCAGAGGAAGAACUGAAGAACGUCUAGCUGGACAUCUUAAAACAUAUCCUAUUUGGGGAACUAAUAUUCCUUUCUCUCACUUCAAAAAUUAUUAAUAUUCACACAAACACGUCCUAUUUGGGUAAAACCGAGAUGCUGAUUACCUCAAGAAUUUCUGCCCAAAAAUUGACUUCUUCAGGCAAUAAAGCAAGCCAUUUUUCAUUCCCAGCAGGCCAUCUAGAAUCGAAAACAAAUUUGGCAACAGAACCAUCUUCAUUGGUGUAUGGAAACGGAAGGUUCUGCCAUGCAUCCUCUGCUAAGUGAGGCAAUAUAGGCGCUAUAACCCUCACAAGGGAAAGCAGAUGCUCUGCAAGAACUGUCUGACAACUUCUCCUCGUAAAACUCUCCAUGCCC
This 41800-nucleotide long non-coding RNA is filed under the name Eucalyptus grandis. Its description in RNAcentral is "long non-coding RNA (EGRA_LNC005185)". The record is from RNAcentral. Lineage: Eukaryota; Viridiplantae; Streptophyta; Magnoliopsida; Myrtales; Myrtaceae.